This is a long non-coding RNA of Felis catus (domestic cat), 1197 nucleotides long. RefSeq lists it as uncharacterized. The record is from RefSeq and is a predicted model, not a curated record. The transcript has 5 exons. NCBI's taxonomy places the organism in Eukaryota, Metazoa, Chordata, Mammalia, Carnivora, Felidae.
AGGCACAGCGCUCAGGAGCUGGGAUUUAAAUUGGCUACAGGGAACCUGAAAACAAAGGGCGUUCACAUUAGCAACCGUGGCUCCCUUGCUUUGUCUAGGACCAAGUGUGUGCGAAAUAGCCCAGGCGACCCUGCCGGGCUACGGCCUCCGCCGAAUUUCACUUUACAGCCUGUCUUUCCAGAACUGGCAUCGUUAAUUUGUAUGCUGCCCGAAAGCUGUCCUUUAUCCCAAAGCCCUCCUCACAAAGCAGAUGCAGACCUCCAGAAGUGCACCGGAAAUAGGAGUCAAUUUCAAGUGUCAGAAACCAAGACCCCUGACUGGUUCGGCAUCUGUCCCUGCAAGACUUAGAAAACCAACCCUGUGCUUAAGAGGGAGAAGUAGAGAUGAAAGAUGAAAGACGGAGCAGCGGAAUCAAGAGAAGGAAUUAGCAGAACAGGACAAUGUGGUUUCAAUGGUUUUCUGCGACUGUUUCAGGAACAACAGUUCCUUGAUUUGGACUUGCUCCUGGAGAGAAAUGAAGAUCAGUGCAUUGAGGCUCCGAAGGAUAAAGUGACUUCUCCGUCUCUCACAGCCGUACCUACCCUUGGCGUCAGUCAGUAAUUGCUUCUGAAGCUACGCACAUCAUCAUCAUUAAAACCGUGGCAUUAAUAGGCAUAUUGUAUCUAGAACAGGGGGGCUUGAUGAUCCUGUUGCUGUCCAGACUGGUUGUAUCAGGACUGUGAAGGGUAGCAGAACACGCUGCUUUGGCCCCAGGAUUAUUUGGAGCUGGAGGCAGUUGAGAAAAAGCAGGUACCAGAAAGCUCAAAGCGGGUGCCAGAAAGCUCUCUGCCCUCCCCAGUGGCCUCAAAGCGUAACAUAAAUUUGGAAAGGUGUCCCCUCCUCCCCUCUCGACUGGGAAAGAAAGAAGUUAACCACCAGAGAUAAUUGAGACCCUUAUCAGCCCAGAGACUGUCACCAAAGGAACGUAUAUAACCAACUAUGCUAAAACUAGCCCUUGUCUACCAUUGGUUUUCCUAUAUAUUUGCCACCCUAGAAACUCAGGUGGCUUCUCUACAAAUUUCUUUACAAAUGUAUCGUUCUUCUAUUAAGAUCCUAUACACGCCAAAGCUCUAACCACCCCUCUGAGUUACCCAUCACAGAGCACUCCCAUCUGUAUCCGAUGCACAUGCCAAUAAACUUUUGUUUGUUUUUCUCUCA